GCAUUGGUGGUUCAGUGGUAGAAUUCUCGCCUGCCACGCGGGAGGCCCGGCUUUGAUUCCCGUCCAAUGCA
Molecule: transfer RNA, 71 nt
Filed under: Saccoglossus kowalevskii
Lineage: Eukaryota; Metazoa; Hemichordata; Enteropneusta; Harrimaniidae
Description: tRNA-Gly
Rfam family: tRNA
About the family: Transfer RNA (tRNA) molecules are approximately 80 nucleotides in length. Their secondary structure includes four short double-helical elements and three loops (D, anti-codon, and T loops). Further hydrogen bonds mediate the characteristic L-shaped molecular structure. tRNAs have two regions of fundamental functional importance: the anti-codon, which is responsible for specific mRNA codon recognition, and the 3' end, to which the tRNAs corresponding amino acid is attached (by aminoacyl-tRNA synthetases). tRNAs cope with the degeneracy of the genetic code in two manners: having more than one tRNA (with a specific anti-codon) for a particular amino acid; and 'wobble' base-pairing, i.e. permitting non-standard base-pairing at the 3rd anti-codon position.
Source: RNAcentral